RNAcentral lists this ribosomal RNA (769 nucleotides) under uncultured Pseudoalteromonadaceae bacterium. RNAcentral's name for it is "bacterial SSU rRNA". It matches the Rfam family "Bacterial small subunit ribosomal RNA", at positions 28 to 776 of the family's 1533-position model. Lineage: Bacteria; Pseudomonadati; Pseudomonadota; Gammaproteobacteria; Alteromonadales; Pseudoalteromonadaceae. The record is from RNAcentral.
AUUGAACGCUGGCGGCAGGCCUAACACAUGCAAGUCGAGCGGAAACGAGUUAUCUGAACCUUCGGGGAACGAUAACGGCGUCGAGCGGCGGACGGGUGAGUAAUGCCUAGGAAAUUGCCCUGAUGUGGGGGAUAACCAUUGGAAACGAUGGCUAAUACCGCAUGAUGCCUACGGGCCAAAGAGGGGGACCUUCGGGCCUCUCGCGUCAGGAUAUGCCUAGGUGGGAUUAGCUAGUUGGUGAGGUAAGGGCUCACCAAGGCAACGAUCCCUAGCUGGUCUGAGAGGAUGAUCAGCCACACUGGAACUGAGACACGGUCCAGACUCCUACGGGAGGCAGCAGUGGGGAAUAUUGCACAAUGGGCGCAAGCCUGAUGCAGCCAUGCCGCGUGUAUGAAGAAGGCCUUCGGGUUGUAAAGUACUUUCAGUCGUGAGGAAGGCGUUGUCGUUAAUAGCGGCAUCGUUUGACGUUAGCGACAGAAGAAGCACCGGCUAACUCCGUGCCAGCAGCCGCGGUAAUACGGAGGGUGCGAGCGUUAAUCGGAAUUACUGGGCGUAAAGCGCAUGCAGGUGGUUUGUUAAGUCAGAUGUGAAAGCCCGGGGCUCAACCUCGGAAUAGCAUUUGAAACUGGCAGACUAGAGUACUGUAGAGGGGGGUAGAAUUUCAGGUGUAGCGGUGAAAUGCGUAGAGAUCUGAAGGAAUACCGGUGGCGAAGGCGGCCCCCUGGACAGAUACUGACACUCAGAUGCGAAAGCGUGGGGAGCAAACAGG